This 101-nucleotide ribosomal RNA is filed under the name Gloiothele torrendii. Its description in RNAcentral is "partial 5.8S ribosomal RNA". It matches the Rfam family "5.8S ribosomal RNA", at positions 56 to 154 of the family's 154-position model. Rfam says of the family: 5.8S ribosomal RNA (5.8S rRNA) is a component of the large subunit of the eukaryotic ribosome. Lineage: Eukaryota; Fungi; Basidiomycota; Agaricomycetes; Russulales; Lachnocladiaceae. The record is from RNAcentral.
GAAUAAGUAAUGUGAAUUGCAGAAUUCAGUGAAUCAUCGAAUCUUUGAACGCACCUUGCACCUCUCAGUAUUCUGAAAGGUACACCUGUUUGAGUGUCAUU